RNAcentral lists this unclassified non-coding RNA (214 nucleotides) under Hevea brasiliensis (rubber tree). The record is from RNAcentral. Lineage: Eukaryota; Viridiplantae; Streptophyta; Magnoliopsida; Malpighiales; Euphorbiaceae.
CGCCGCUUAGCGGGUUUGCACUUCAAAGACUGACAAUCCUCGGUGGACUCCGCCACCUCCAGCAUCUGCUCCGGCGAAUCACAUUGCGGGCUCUGCGCAAUGCUAAAGAAUCAUGCUUUGCACAGGAAGAAUAGAUGGUUUAUGUUGAGAGUUGCUUUGCAAUUGAGAGUUGAAGCAUCAAGGAAGAAGGAUGAACUUGGGGAAAUUGGGCAGC